CUGAGAGUAUCUUUAUUGCUCUUCUGGUUUAUGUUGAUGACAUUGUCAUCACUGGGCUAGACUAGUAGGCCAUUGAGUCUUUAAAAGCCUUUCUAUACAGCCAAUUCAAAGCUUAUGGAUCUGGGACGGUUAAAGUGUUUCCUGGGUCUGAAAAUUGCCGGAUCUCACAAAGGGUAUUUUUCUAUCUCGACGUCAUUACGUUCUUUAACUUCUUGAAGAUACUGGCUUUUUGGCUUGCAAACCUGCUGUAUUACUUAUGGAUCCCAAACUUCUCCUUAAUUCCUUUGAGGGAGAACUUCUUACUGACCCAUCAAUGUAUAGAAGGCUAGUUGAUGGCUAAUUAUAUUUAACAACAUCUCGCCCUGAUAUUAUAUUUGUAGUUCACAAGCUCGGUCAAUUUGUAUCUGAACCACAGCAACCUCAUCUUGAUGCUGGGCAUCAUCUCCUACAAUCAUCAAAGCCACUCUUGGUCAAGGCUCCUUAUUUUCUUCGAACACCUCUCUCUUUGAACAUAUUGUGAUGCAGACUGGGAUUCCUGCCUUGAUUCAAGAAAAUCCAUAAGCUGCUAUGUAUUUCGAUGGCAAUGAUGGGAGAGGUUGUCUCGACAAGUGACGAUAAAAAGUGUUGGGUGUGGAUAUGAGAAACUGGGGAGAAAUAGAUUAAAUGAUCAAUUAAACUACUUGUACAAAGUAGUUUGACAAAAAUGAUUGAUAAAAUGUGUGUCGGCGAGAUCAAGACCAAUGAAUCUUGUUGCUUUCAAAAACUGUUUUUGAAUUGAGUGGUCUUGAUUUUGUCAAUAACUACUUUGUCAACUUUUUUUUUUUUUUGCUUUUUUUUCUUUUUUUGUAAAUCUACUUGGUAAGCAAAGCAAAACUCUUAAAUGAUAGGGAGGGUAGGAUGAGGUAAGGUAAGG
This 913-nucleotide long non-coding RNA is filed under the name Olea europaea subsp. europaea. The record is from RNAcentral. Lineage: Eukaryota; Viridiplantae; Streptophyta; Magnoliopsida; Lamiales; Oleaceae.